UAGGGAAUCUUCGGCAAUGGACGGAAGUCUGACCGAGCAACGCCGCGUGAGUGAAGAAGGUUUUCGGAUCGUAAAGCUCUGUUGUAAGAGAAGAACGAGUGUGAGAGUGGAAAGUUCACACUGUGACGGUAUCUUACCAGAAAGGGACGGCUAACUACGUGCCAGCAGCCGCGGUAAUACGUAGGUCCCGAGCGUUGUCCGGAUUUAUUGGGCGUAAAGCGAGCGCAGGCGGUUAGAUAAGUCUGAAGUUAAAGGCUGUGGCUUAACCAUAGUACGCUUUGGAAACUGUUUAACUUGAGUGCAAGAGGGGAGAGUGGAAUUCCAUGUGUAGCGGUGAAAUGCGUAGAUAUAUGGAGGAACACCGGUGGCGAAAGCGGCUCUCUGGCUUGUAACUGACGCUGAGGCUCGAAAGCGUGGGGAGCAAACAGGAUUAGAUACCCUGGUAGUCCACGCCGUAAACGGUGAGUGCUAGGUGUUAGACCCUUUCCGGGGUUUAGUGCCGCAGCUAACGCAUUAAGCACUCCGCCUGGGGAGUACGACCGCAAGGUUG
This 550-nucleotide ribosomal RNA is filed under the name uncultured bacterium. RNAcentral describes it as "bacterial SSU rRNA". It matches the Rfam family "Bacterial small subunit ribosomal RNA", at positions 355 to 896 of the family's 1533-position model. The record is from RNAcentral.